GAUGAAGAACGUAGCGAAAUGCGAUAAGUAAUGUGAAUUGCAGAAUUCAGUGAAUCAUCGAAUCUUUGAACGCACAUUGCGCCCGCCAGUAUUCUGGCGGGCAUGCCUGUUCGAGCGUCAUUACAACCCUCAGGCCCCCGGGCCUGGCGUUGGGGAUCGGCGGAAGCCCCCUGCGGGCACAACGCCGUCCCCCAAAUACAGUGGCGGUCCCGCCGCAGCUUCCAUUGCGUAGUAGCUAACACCUCGCAACUGGAGAGCGGCGCGGCCACGCCGUAAAACACCCAACUUCUGAAUGUUGACCUCGAAUCAGGUAGGAAUACCCGCUGAACUUAAGCAUAUCAAUAGCGAGGA
Molecule: unclassified non-coding RNA, 351 nt
Filed under: soil metagenome
Description: partial contains 5.8S ribosomal RNA, internal transcribed spacer 2, and large subunit ribosomal RNA
Rfam family: 5.8S ribosomal RNA (bases 1-120)
Source: RNAcentral